RNAcentral lists this microRNA (23 nucleotides) under Cavia porcellus (domestic guinea pig). RNAcentral's name for it is "cpo-miR-339-3p". Its record names the gene cpo-miR-339-3p. Lineage: Eukaryota; Metazoa; Chordata; Mammalia; Rodentia; Caviidae. The record is from miRBase by way of RNAcentral.
UGAGCGCCUCGAUGACAGAGCCG